Molecule: long non-coding RNA, 930 nt
Organism: Camellia sinensis
Lineage: Eukaryota; Viridiplantae; Streptophyta; Magnoliopsida; Ericales; Theaceae
Source: RefSeq, a predicted model, not a curated record
GUCUAUUUAAAUGAUAUUGACAAAAUAUUAAAGGGUGAAGAUUUGGCGAGCAUUGUAAAUUGAAUUUGUAACUCAUUAAAAUAACAUUUUAGUUUUUUAUUUAUAUUAAUUCCUUAUUUUGUUUUUUUGUUUUCAACAUAGGUAAUAGACGCAUAUGCAGAACACUUGCUUGCACAUAAACAAGGAACAACAUCAUUCAUAUUCAUUUCAAGUUGCCAUUUAGCACUUGUUGACAACAAAAGAUGAGAAAGCAACAAAGAGAAUGCUGAACAAGUUGAUGCCUGAAACCAUGAAAGGAAGAUACAUUCUCUUCCCAAUCCACCAAAAUUUUCAUUGAACAAUACUUGUCCUUGAUAUUGAAGAAGGUUCAUGGAAAUUCUACAAUUCCAUGAGACCAAGGGGUGCAAUGCGUAAAGAUCCAUACUUCAAUGCCGCAAAUGAAAUGAGAAAGAUUAUUGGCAAGUACAUAAAGGAAGAGAAGCCAACUCUCAUCGCCCCUGAUAAAUUUCAAUAGGAGACAGAGAGAGUCAUCAACAGCCCACAAUAAGAAGAAAAUUCGCUUGAUUGUGGAAUCAUUGUUUACUAUAUCAUGAGGCAAUAUGUUUCCAGUAACAACAUAAUGCCUACUUUUUUCAAGGAAGAACGCAAUCAAUUGAGAGCCAAUAUAUUAACUAUCUUCUUGACUGACCAACAAACUGCUCAACAAUAAAUAGUUGAUAAAAACAUUAAUGACUUGCCUUCACAAUAAUCAACAAAUUUGGAAGAAAAGAAAACAUUUUGCUUGUUUGUUUGUUACACUAAUCAACAGAUCUGAAAGAAAAGAAAAGAAAACAUUUUGCUUGUUUGUUUGUUAUAGUGUAACAAAAAGGAAACAUUGAUUCAUUUAGUUGUUAGAAUGUGAAUGCUUCAUACAUUUGGCUUGUUUGGUUG